This 280-nucleotide small nuclear RNA is filed under the name Carlito syrichta (Philippine tarsier). Its description in RNAcentral is "7SK RNA (ENSTSYG00000024114.2)". It matches the Rfam family "7SK RNA", at positions 52 to 331 of the family's 331-position model. Rfam says of the family: 7SK was discovered as an abundant small nuclear RNA in the mid-70s but a possible function has only recently been suggested. Two independent studies have found that 7SK RNA binds the CDK9/cyclin T complex (known as elongation factor P-TEFb). P-TEFb activates transcription by phosphorylating the C-terminal domain of RNA polymerase II. Lineage: Eukaryota; Metazoa; Chordata; Mammalia; Primates; Tarsiidae. The record is from Rfam by way of RNAcentral.
GUAUGUGAGGGAAAUGUGGAUUUAGUUGAUCUGGCUGGCUAGGCGGGUGUCCUCUUCCUCCCUCACCACUCCAUGUGUUAUGAGCUUGUUCUAGGAAGAUGAUCUUCCCAAUAGAGGUAGACCUCUUCCUCAAGGGUAGACAAGUGGCUGCACUCCCCUGCAAGAACCCCCAAGCAAGCUCUCAAGGUCAAUUUGUAAAAGAACAUAGGGUAGUAAUCAGGUUUCCAAAACUUCAGACACAUUCAAAUAAGAUGCUUCAUGUGGUAGUCUGUCUUUCCUA